Carica papaya (papaya) is the source of this 2954-nucleotide RNA transcript. It is a transcript of the gene named cysteine-rich RLK (RECEPTOR-like protein kinase) 42, with no coding region annotated. NCBI's taxonomy places the organism in Eukaryota, Viridiplantae, Streptophyta, Magnoliopsida, Brassicales, Caricaceae. The record is from RefSeq and is a predicted model, not a curated record.
AACAAGAACUUUGAACUAAAAUCCACCGCCAUGGCGGCAGGGCCUACCACCCACCAAGAACAUCAAGAACCACCACAAGUCAAAUAUUUUCAGCUAUUUCAUCAACAUUCCUUUCACAUCUUUCUCUUCCUCCAUUUUCUCCUUCUCUUCUUGCUUCUCUCUGCAACUUCUCCACUUCCAUUUCCUUCCUCCAUUGCUUCACACCUUCGCGGCACUGAGAAACAGGACAGCUCUCGAAUUCUUUUGCAAACUCCAUGCAUUGUUUAAAACCAGAGAUUCAAUGUCGGAGAUCAUCUGCGCUUCUUUUAUCAGUCGUCUUCUUGGUUUUCUCCGUCUCUUUUGCCGAUCCUAGAAUCUCAGAAUCCGGCCUCUUCUGCGGCAAUCUCACGCGGCCGCCGGUGGCGAACUAUAUCCCGACGUUCGUCAAAGAAAUGGAGAAUCUCUCGCAAGCCAUCACGACUCACCACUUUGCCACUCACCAGCUCGUCAUACGCCGGCGCUCCGGCGCCAACUCCACUGGAACCCCGACGAUUUACGGCUUGGCUCAGUGCCACCACGAUCUGUCGCAAACCGAUUGCCUCCUUUGUUUCGCUGCCUCCCGCACCAGACUCCCUCGCUGCCUCCCCUCCGUUUCCGCUCGCAUCUUCCUCGACGGCUGCUUUCUCCGUUAUGACACGUACAGAUUCUACAACGAAUCGGUGUCUCCGCAGACGGAUACCUUCAAUUGCAGCCGUGAAGAGGCGCCAGUGGUGCUCAGCGAAGCGGAGCGAUCGGCGUUUGUGAGGAGUGUGGGGCACGCGAUUGGGAAUGCGAGUGGAAUAGCCGGACAGAGGGCUGAUGGUUUUGGGGCGGUCGGUGUGGAUGGAGUUUACGCGUUGGCUCAGUGUUGGGAGAGUGUAGUGAACAGUGGUGGUUGCAGAGAGUGUUUGCAGAAAGCUGCCAUGGUGCUGAGAGGUUGUGGGUCGAAGAAGGAAGGGAGAGCCAUGAUUGUCGGCUGUUACGUGAGGUACUCAACUUACAAGUUCUAUAAUGAUGAGGGAAAAAACGGGGAAGGCCAUGGGUUGUGUGGUAAAGGGUUCAUCAUAGCAAUUGUAUUGGCAAUAGUUGCAUUCUUGAUGCUGUCUCUCUUUGGAGCUUAUGCUGGUUAUGCAAAAAUAUCAAAGAUAAGAAAAGAAAACAACAAUCUUGGGCUGGUUUCAACCAGCUUUCACAAGUCAAAUCUAAAGUUCAAGUAUGAAACCUUGGAAAAGGCAACAGAUUAUUUCAGUGCUUCAAGGAAAGUAGGGCAAGGAGGUGCUGGAUCGGUGUUCAUGGGGAUUCUUCCAAAUGGGAAAACUGUGGCUGUCAAGAGGUUGAUUUUCAACACCAGGCAAUGGGUUGAUGAGUUUUUCAAUGAGGUGAAUUUGAUAAGUGGAAUUCAUCACAAGAACCUUGUGCAGCUUCUUGGUUGCAGCAUUGAAGGCCCUGAAAGUCUCCUGGUCUACGAGUAUGUGCAAAACAAGAGCCUAGAUCAAUUCAUUUUUGAUGAGAACAAAACAAGGCUUCUAACUUGGAGGCAGAGGCUUAAUAUCAUAACUGGGACGGCAAAGGGACUUGCAUAUCUUCAUGGAGGCUGUCAUGUAAGAAUUAUUCAUAGAGACAUAAAGAGCAGUAACGUACUUCUUGAUGAGGAUUUUAAUCCAAAGAUUGCUGAUUUUGGACUGGCUCGGUGUUUUGCUGCUGACAAGACUCAUCUCAGCACUGGAGUUGCAGGAACACUUGGGUACAUGGCUCCUGAGUAUCUCAUUAGGGGACAACUCACGGAGAAAGCAGAUGUAUAUAGUUUUGGGAUUCUGGUUCUUGAGAUUGUCAGUGGUAGGAGGAACAGUACCUUUGCAGAGUACUCAAGUCCCCUGCUACAAACAGUUUGGAAACUUCACAGAUCAAAUAGACUAGCCGAAGCCAUUGACCCUCGUCUGAGACCCGAGUUUUCUGAGGAAGAAGCAUGUCAUGUGCUGCUAAUUGGACUUCUAUGUACGCAAGCUACUGUUUCUCUAAGACCAUCCAUGAAAGAAGUAAUCUUGAUGCUAACUGACCGAGAUUAUGAGAUCCCUAUGCCAAGUCAACCUCCUUUUCUGAAUGCCCCUGUGCUAGAACAACCGCCAAGUUCCAUAAGGUCUAAUAGUUCGAACAGUUUAGUGUCAAAUCCAGCAACAAAAGUCGAAGCUUCCUACACUUCGUCAGAGUCCUAUAGUACACACAGCUCUUACGAACAAUGAUCAAGGAAAGAGUUAAGUUCAGAAGUUGUAAAUCCAAAAAGAUGAUCCCCAUAAUUUGUCAGUGGCUUCUGAUUUUAGUUGAAUCUUUUGCAGGCUGCAGUGUUCUGUUGUUACAUGAUAUAUCAGAAAAUUAUUAAGCGGUUCCAGACUACCUUUAACAUGGUUCACCAUUAAUAUUUAUUGGGUCAUCUCAGUUCCGAUCAGAAAAUUAUGGUGAUAAUCUGACAAAAAAUUUAGUAUUAUGUCCUAACAAAAAGCUGAGGUGAUCCAAUCAAAACUGGGAGGUGCAUCAUCUCGGCCUUGUUUCUGGACUACCCGAUAAUUUCUCCAAUCGAUCGGCCAGAAACAGCAACAUCAAAUCUCAGCAUAAAUGCGGGAGACAGCGAAGAAGGACCCACAAUUUUGCUUUCCACCUUCUUGUCAUAAGUACAAGUUGGUCCACAGAUCUCCCAGUCUCUCCCAAUUAUAAAUGGUGGUGGUUGCUGGGGACCUACUUACAUAAAGAUUCACUUUAAUUUCAGUGUGACUGUUGUACAACAGCUACAUCUUCUACACGUCACAGGUCUUUACUAAAUCUAACCCUAAAUCUCAGUCCAGUCAUUAUCCUAUAUUUAAGAGAACAAUUAGGGUUUGUUGUCACUGAUGUUAUGAUAUUUACACAGUUUAAUAAUAUUGCAAGAAUCAUGCUUUUUAUUA